AUCAUCAAAACAACAUCAAACAUCACAACAUCAUCAUCAAACAACAUCAAACAUCAUCAUCAAAACAUCAACUACAUCACCGUCACUAAAAAAACAUUAUCAAAAUUCAGCAACAUCAUAAAAACACCAUCAAACAUCGUCAACUACAUCACCAACAUCACUAAAAAAAAUCAUCAAACAUCAACAAAAACCAACGACAUCAAACAUUAACACAACAACAACAUCAAUCUUUUUCUUUUUUCUUUGUGGGUUUAGGUUAAAACCCAAAAAGAAGAACCCAAAAAGGCAAAGAGAGCCGAGAUUUGCAUUCAUGACAAACAGUGAGGUUGAUCACUUGGAUGAUGGGUAUAGAUGGAGGAAGUACGGCCAAAAAGCUGUGAAAAAUAGCCCCUUUCCAAGUCCCUCUGAGAUCGGAACAUCAGCAACGCGAGAUCGGAACAUCAACAUCAGCGAUCGUGAGAUCGGAACAUCAACAUCGCAACACGUCUGCAACAUCAACGCCAUGAUCAACAUCGCAACAUCAGCGCCGUGAGAUCGAAACAUCAGUGCCGUGAGAUCUCCCUCUCUUUCAGAAUUGCUGAUCAAUUCGCCGGAAAACAAUUACACAACGAUUCUAUUCCUUGCGCAACAAGAUCUCUGCAGAUCUAAUUCAAAAAAGGUAACUAUAUAUAUAUAUGUAUGUAUUUGUGUAUCUUUCUUCUUUUGUUGAAUCUGGACGUUUACAUGUUCCUUUUUUUUUCUUUUUUUUUUUUUGUGGGUUUGGUUCGAAAUCGAUUUCUACGUAUUGGGUUAAUUUAGGUCUGAUCUAUUCGUUGGGAUUGUAAGAAGUUAGGGUUUCAAAGGUUUAUGGAUUGAUUGGUUUGUGUUACUUCUGAUGUUCACCAUGUUGAUGAUGUUGCUAUUGUUCAUGAUGAUGUUCACGAUGUAAAAACCCUAGGCGUUCUGAUGAUGUUUGAUGAUUUUGCUAA
This is a long non-coding RNA of Camellia sinensis, 968 nucleotides long. RefSeq lists it as uncharacterized. Lineage: Eukaryota; Viridiplantae; Streptophyta; Magnoliopsida; Ericales; Theaceae. The record is from RefSeq and is a predicted model, not a curated record.